Molecule: ribosomal RNA, 254 nt
Filed under: uncultured bacterium
Lineage: Bacteria
Description: partial 16S ribosomal RNA
Rfam family: Bacterial small subunit ribosomal RNA
Source: RNAcentral
UACGGAGGAUCCAAGCGUUAUCCGGAAUCACUGGGCGUAAAGAGUUGCGUAGGUGGCAUAGUAAGUUGGUGGUGAAAGCGUGUGGCUCAACCAUAUACACAUCACCAAAACUACUAAGCUAGAGUAUAAGAGAGGUAGUUGGAAUUCCUAGUGUAGGAGUGAAAUCCGUAGAUAUUAGGAGGAACACCAAUGGCGUAGGCAGACUACUGGCUUAUUACUGACACUAAGGCACGAAAGCGUGGGUAGCAAACGGG